GUGUCAGCCGCCGCGGUAAUACAGAGACUGCAAGCGUUAUUCGGAUUCACUGGGCGUAAAGGGUGCGCAGGCGGCCGUGUGUGUUAGAUGUGAAAUCCCGGGGCUCAACCCCGGAACUGCGUCUAAAACUACAUGGCUAGAGUACUGGAGAGGGUAACGGAAUUCACGGUGUAGCAGUGAAAUGCGUAGAUAUCGUGAGGAACACCAGAGGCGAAGGCGGUUACCUGGACAGUUACUGACGCUCAGGCACGAAAGCGUGGGGAGCAAAAGGGAUUAGAAACCCGGGUAGUCC
RNAcentral lists this ribosomal RNA (292 nucleotides) under uncultured bacterium. Its description in RNAcentral is "partial 16S ribosomal RNA". It matches the Rfam family "Bacterial small subunit ribosomal RNA", at positions 505 to 796 of the family's 1533-position model. The record is from RNAcentral.